RNAcentral lists this ribosomal RNA (445 nucleotides) under uncultured bacterium. Its description in RNAcentral is "SSU rRNA". It matches the Rfam family "Bacterial small subunit ribosomal RNA", at positions 26 to 518 of the family's 1533-position model. The record is from RNAcentral.
AGAGCGAACGCUGGCGGCAGGCCUAACACAUGCAAGUCGAGCGCCCCGCAAGGGGAGCGGCAGACGGGAGAGUAACACGUGGGAACGUACCCUUUGGUUCGGAACAACCCAGGGAAACUUGGGCUAAUACCGAAUAAGCCCUUACGGGGAAAGAUUUAUCGCCAAAGGAUCGGCCCGCGUCUGAUUAGCUAGUUGGUGAGGUAACGGCUCACCAAGGCGACGAUCAGUAGCUGGUCUGAGAGGAUGAUCAGCCUCACUGGGACUGAGACACGGCCCAGACUCCUACGGGAGGCAGCAGUGGGGAAUAUUGGACAAUGGGCGCAAGCCUGAUCCAGCCAUGCCGCGUGGGUGAUGAAGGCCCUAGGGUUGUAAAGCCCUUUCGGCGGGGAAGAGUAAUGACGGUACCCGCAGAAGAAGCCCCGGCUAACUUCGUGCCAGCAGCCGC